AGCUAUUAGGCAGCUUAAAAGUUGAAAAAGUGGUAAAUGAAAAGGCUGUCCAGCUAUGACAUACUAUUGAAAUGCCGUUGUGAAUGAUGAAGAUUGUGUUGAUGUUGUUGGUGAUGAUAAAAUAGUCUCAUUGUGCUUGAAAUUCUAUUACAAAUAUUUAUUUUUAGGUUUUUUCAAGCUUAUUCCUUUAUAGUUAUGCUGAUAUGAUUAAUUUUUAAAGGGAUAGCAUAAAGUAGGAUCCUUGAAUUUGUUGAUCUCAUUUUGUUUCAUAAUCUUUGGUAGAUUUUGAGGUUCCUACAAUUUUGAAUUGCAUGGCCAGAAGUAAUCUUCUCGUCACUAGGAAGAUCAAGCAUAGUUCUACAGCUUGGAUUCCUGGGAAUCUUGAUUCAUUUUGCUUACAAUCCAUCAUUAGAUAUGCUAACAUUGCUUUCAAAACAAUACAACCUGUGCAUUGCACGGGGCAAAG
This 466-nucleotide long non-coding RNA is filed under the name Olea europaea (common olive). RNAcentral's name for it is "long non-coding RNA (OEUR_LNC000361)". Lineage: Eukaryota; Viridiplantae; Streptophyta; Magnoliopsida; Lamiales; Oleaceae. The record is from RNAcentral.